This 960-nucleotide long non-coding RNA is filed under the name Struthio camelus australis. RNAcentral describes it as "lncRNA (ENSSCUG00000000367.1)". Lineage: Eukaryota; Metazoa; Chordata; Aves; Struthioniformes; Struthionidae. The record is from RNAcentral.
CCCAAGUGCUGCAAAGUUGCGCUUGGAAAUGGCUCGUAAAGUUUUAAUGCGUGAGUGCUUUCAACCUUUUGAGGCGAUGCCUUGAAAAUCGAGACGCUGUUUUGAGUCAGACCUUUUCAAGCUGGCAUGAAGGGGCUGGAUCAGAUUUCCUCGUAAAAAAAAAACAAAAAAAAUACAAGUUUUUUUUUUUUUCCUCUAUGUUUUUCCAGACAGUUCAGAAUUGAGCUCACAGACCCCUUCAGGCCUCCAGCUCCGCAGGAGGGAACAGGACAAUUCACCCAACUGGUGACUCUCCCCCAUUCCCACAGCCUGGGCUAGAAUGAUUUGGGAGGGGGGGAGGGUGGAAAUUAGGCCAGAAUCCUCCACACCCCCACUUCUGAUUAACUCCUGGGUUUUCUGAUAUCUGCCCAUAAGGAAAAGGAUCCGAUCGCUGUUUCCCAUCGAGGACUCGCAAGCCGUCCUCAAGCUUUAAAUUUCAAAAGCUCCAGUUCGUUAAACCAUCGAAACUUCUGGCCAGGUUGCAAAACCGGCCCCGUUUCCAGGCCACGCCAGCAACUCCCCGUGGAGGUUUCGCAGACCUGUCUCGGCCUCAUGCCUACAGGGAACUUUUCGCGCUGAAGGAGAUACGCUGCAGUUGGCCAUACCACCCUGGGCACAGGCAGCGGGAGGCUGGAGUGGAGCUGCUUAAAUUACUGCACCUUCACUGCACUGUCACGUCCCAGUAAAAGAGACACCCGCUGUCCUGCAGAGACAGGGACUUCUCGAGUGCCUCCCCAUAUUCCUCUUCUUCCUCCCUGUCGUCCAUCUUUAGUUUGAGACAAACAUUUCUCAAGAGAGAAGAACUGGGAGAAAUGAGAAAUGUAGGAACCCUGGAAGCAGGAAAGAUUUCUGUACUGCUGUGAUCAUUCCCCAACUCUGGAAGGCAACUGCCUGCCCUACACUGGAAUAAAUCCAGACCAG